This 24-nucleotide non-coding RNA is filed under the name Arabidopsis thaliana (thale cress). Lineage: Eukaryota; Viridiplantae; Streptophyta; Magnoliopsida; Brassicales; Brassicaceae. The record is from RNAcentral.
AUGGGGACUCUCGUCUCUAUCACG